Molecule: ribosomal RNA, 325 nt
Filed under: uncultured eukaryote
Lineage: Eukaryota
Description: partial 18S ribosomal RNA
Rfam family: Eukaryotic small subunit ribosomal RNA
Source: RNAcentral
CCCUUAGAUGUUCUGGGCCGCACGCGCGCUACACUGAUGCGUUCAACGAGUUUAGAACCUUGACUGAUAGGUCUGGGUAAUCUUUUGAAUGCGCAUCGUGCUAGGGAUAGAUUAUUGCAAUUAUUAAUCUUGAACGAGGAAUUCCUAGUAAACGCGAGUCAUCAGCUCGCAUUGAUUACGUCCCUGCCCUUUGUACACACCGCCCGUCGCACCUACCGAUUGAAUGUUUCGGUGAAGAUUCCGGAUAGGACUUUUUUGAUUUAUUUCAAUUUUGUCUUAAAAGCUAUCUAAACCUCAACAUUUAGAGGAAGGUGAAGUCGUAACA